Molecule: long non-coding RNA, 1597 nt
Organism: Xenopus laevis (African clawed frog)
Lineage: Eukaryota; Metazoa; Chordata; Amphibia; Anura; Pipidae
Exons: 5
Source: RefSeq, a predicted model, not a curated record
UUGUUGUCUGUGUGGGACAUUGAAGAAAAGCCAGGAGGCUAAAAAGUUCACUCCAAGACUGUUAUUAAUGGAACGACAAUCAAUGUCCUGAGUGUCAUACAUGACUUCUGCACAUGUCAUUGGAUCCUUUUGAAUGGUGCAGAGUCCACUAGACGUCUCAGGUGGUCAGUAAAUGACACAAUAAUGGAUCAUGGAAAAAGAUGGAAAGGGUUUUGGGUUACUUCACAGUCACAUGAUCAUGUGGGCAUGCACGAACUGGAAAAGGAAGAAAGGAAAGACCACCAUGAUGUCCUGUUUUUGGCCACCUACCCUGUCCCCAGUCACAAUUUCUGUGGGGAAAGCUUUGUAUCUGUUCGGAAAAUCUACCUGCCAUAGUCACGUUGUGGUGCCGUAACACUCUGCCAUUUUUGGCAAUUCAAAUACUUGCAAGGUCCUCUGUCACUGAUUGUAAGUGUCUGCAUGUAUUAUCCAUUACAGAGUGUGCUGUGCAAUACAUGUGGUUGCUGACAGGGGGUUUUAAGAGUACAAAAACUGCCAAAAUGGUACAUUUAUUUGAGAGACAGGGGUCACAGGAGAGUGGAUUGCUAUAGCUUUGUGAGGUAACCUUGCAUUUUAAAUAUGUAUUUUAUGAUAUUUAGCUAGUCAGAUUACCUUUUCUCAAAUAUAUACUAUCUACAAGCAAAUGACAAGCAAGCAGGAGUUUUUUCCUAUGCUACUUUUCCAUUGUCUUUUCUGGCUGUCGUAUAUUUCUUGCUGACAUGAUGUAUUAGAAUGCACCUACCUAUGGGCUCCUGCUAUUAUUCACUGCACUAACUAUUGUUUUGUGUAUCUUCAGCAUCAUUAUUGUCACUUUGUAUGGCUUAUUUUUCUAUUUAGGCUACCUUAUUCAUAUUCCAGACUCUCGGUCAAACCACUGCCUAGGUACAUUUUUUCCUUGCAACCGGAUAGUUGGUGAAACUCUACUAAAACUAAAAUGGAGAGCUGAUAAAUAGAAGUAAAAAAGACCACUUUCAGACUGUCUCAAAAUAAUACUGCCUACAUGCUAUACGUUUGGUUGCCACCUUUUCUGGAAAAAAAUACCGGCCUUCCUAUAGAUUUUUCUUUUUUUCCCUAUUAAUAACAUUGGAAUCAACCAUCACUUUUACCGGCCAGGCCAGUAAAAUACCGAAUCAGCUAUUUUGGAUUCCAGCCGUACUCCCGAAUCCUCCAAAUACCGAACCGAAUCCGCAUAUGCAAAUUAGGGGUGGGAAGGGGAAAAUAUUUUUUUACUUUCUUGUUUUGUAACUAAAAGUCACAAAUUUUCCUCCCGCCCCUAAUUUGCAUAUAUGGCUGGCACCUUUUCCUAAAUUUACCGGCUGGUUGGGGGCGGGAACAAAAAGGGGCGGAGUGUGACAUCAAAAGGGGUGAUGUAAAGGGGGCGGAGACUUCAAGACAGAGAACAAAAGUUACUUUCCAGGGGAUUGGGGACGGGCGGAGGGGUCUUUUUAAGGGUAUUUCAAAUUUACCGGCAGCUACAUUGCUGGUUAAUUUGUAAUACUGGCCCUGGCCUUGGCAGGUGUUUUACCGGCUAGGCUGGUUAAAUACUGGCCAAGUGGCA